AUAGGGGGUCUGAGAGGAAGGUCCCCCACAUUGGAACUGAGACACGGUCCAAACUCCUACGGGAGGCAGCAGUGAGGAAUAUUGGUCAAUGGACGAGAGUCUGAACCAGCCAAGUAGCGUGAAGGAUGACUGCCCUAUGGGUUGUAAACUUCUUUUAUAUGGGAAUAAAGGAGCCUACGUGUAGGUUUUUGUAUGUACCAUACGAAUAAGGAUCGGCUAACUCCGUGCCAGCAGCCGCGGUAAUACGGAGGAUCCAAGCGUUAUCCGGAUUUAUUGGGUUUAAAGGGAGCGUAGGUGGAGGCUUAAGUCAGUUGUGAAAGUUUGCGGCUCAACCGUAAAAUUGCAGUUGAUACUGGGUUUCUUGAGUACAGUAGAGGUGGGCGGAAUUCGUGGUGUAGCGGUGAAAUGCUUAGAUAUCACGAAGAACUCCGAUUG
This 435-nucleotide ribosomal RNA is filed under the name uncultured Bacteroides sp. Its description in RNAcentral is "bacterial SSU rRNA". It matches the Rfam family "Bacterial small subunit ribosomal RNA", at positions 283 to 715 of the family's 1533-position model. The record is from RNAcentral. Lineage: Bacteria; Pseudomonadati; Bacteroidota; Bacteroidia; Bacteroidales; Bacteroidaceae.